GAUGAACGCUGGCGGCGUGCCUAAUACAUGCAAGUCGAGCGAACAGACGAGGAGCUUGCUCCUCUGACGUUAGCGGCGGACGGGUGAGUAACACGUGGAUAACCUACCUAUAAGACUGGGAUAACUUCGGGAAACCGGAGCUAAUACCGGAUAAUAUAUUGAACCGCAUGGUUCAAUAGUGAAAGACGGUUUUGCUGACACUUAUAGAUGGAUCCGCGCCGCAUUAGCUAGUUGGUAAGGUAACGGCUUACCAAGGCAACGAUGCGUAGCCGACCUGAGAGGGUGAUCGGCCACACUGGCACUGAGACACGGUCCAGACUCCUACGGGAGGCAGCAGUAGGGAAUCUUCCGCGAUGGGCGAAAGCCUGACGGAGCAACGCCGCGUGAGUGAUGAAGGUCUUCGGAUCGUAAAACUCUGUUAUUAGGGAAGAACAAAUGUGUAAGUAACUAUGCACGUCUUGACGGUACCUAAUCAGAAAGCCACGGCUAACUACGUG
This 497-nucleotide ribosomal RNA is filed under the name uncultured bacterium. RNAcentral describes it as "partial 16S ribosomal RNA". It matches the Rfam family "Bacterial small subunit ribosomal RNA", at positions 28 to 507 of the family's 1533-position model. The record is from RNAcentral.